CCGAAUUUGGAAGGUCCGAUUGUAGAAGCUCUUACAUAGUAGUAUUUUUUUUUCCUCACUACAACUUAAAAAAAAGAACAUGUCAUAGCAAUGUUGGUGCUGCAAAUAAUGCAUAUUUUACGGUUGAUCAUGAGCUUGACUGGGCACAUUGCCGUCCCGGCACCCCACCACCUCCGAGCCGCAUUGUCUGUUCGUCUAGUUGAUCUGUCUAGUAGCACCAAUUAAAAAUGAUCCAGGAAGCUUCUUUAGGACAACAGUUGCUCCCUUGUUAACUCUCCAAGUGGAGCAGCAGACCAUUUAGGCCAGUUAAUGACACGCCGGGAGGCUAAUUAAUCAAGAGCGCAGCAGCACCGCAUCUGGACUGCAAGCCAAGAACAGACAGGCGCACGUGAGGAGGCGUUAACAGCCCCUCGUUGUGGCACAGGCUGGGAUGACACGGAGACAGAUCAGACAUGGGCGCCAACGCACGCAAUCAGGCGAGGCGUCCUCGGUGUGAUCGACCGACUGGAUAAUUGGACGGGACGAAACGACAGCGGCUUCGGGGAGACCCCGUCCGUCUUCGUGCGUAUCAUCGUCGGGUUGGUAAAACGAGGGUCUUGGACGGGAGCCAAGCCACAAAAUCGG
RNAcentral lists this long non-coding RNA (624 nucleotides) under Hordeum vulgare. RNAcentral's name for it is "long non-coding RNA (HVUL_LNC001483)". Lineage: Eukaryota; Viridiplantae; Streptophyta; Magnoliopsida; Poales; Poaceae. The record is from RNAcentral.